GUGACACUCUAAUCCACAGAGAGAAGAGCAUGUGAGGCAGCUUCCAUACCUUCCCAUUAGAAGUGCUUCUUACAGACCCUUCCUGAUGGUGGGAAAAAGCAGAAGCUGUCUGUCAACGUUACCUAAACUGCUGUCGCUUACUCUGUAUACUGCUUCUGAGUGCUGACUCUUCCUACUCUGCAGCAUCCCUGGUCCAGGAAGAAGAUGAAUUCAACAAGGAUUCAGCUGCCUGAGUGUCAACCUUCAGAUGGACUUCAGGCAUCUUUGUGAAUUAGGACUGUGCCCUAAGUGGCAGGAUGAGAACAGUAAAGGCUAGAGUGAUCACACUAGCAUCAAUAUUCAGUCUGUCUUGUGCUGUGGAAAGCUUAGUAUAGCUUUUUCCCACUAACAAAACGAGCAAGAUAUUGCAACGUUGGACCGUUUCCUGGUGUUCUGAAUGAUAGACAUAGAAACAGCAUUCCACAUUCAUGAAUGAGAGGUUUUUUGAAGGACUGGAUUUCUUGGAUUUUGAAAACAGAAAUAUAAGAAUAUACAAUUCAACAGAAGAAAUCUGAAUUUCUGAGCUGUAGUACCAUAUAUAUACAGUUCAUAGAAGGAUGCAGAUUGUUAAAACUUCAAACCCAUUAGACAAACCUAUCUUGGAAUACGUUCCAAGAACUCAGUAGGGCUUCCUGGUUUUUUAUUUAAAUCACGAUUUAAGUAAA
Molecule: non-coding RNA, 704 nt
Organism: Pogona vitticeps (central bearded dragon)
Lineage: Eukaryota; Metazoa; Chordata; Lepidosauria; Squamata; Agamidae
Source: RefSeq, a predicted model, not a curated record